Molecule: ribosomal RNA, 1352 nt
Filed under: metagenome
Description: SSU rRNA
Rfam family: Eukaryotic small subunit ribosomal RNA
Source: RNAcentral
CCUGGUUGAUUCUGCCAGUAGUCAUAUGCUUGUCUCAAAGAUUAAGCCAUGCAUGUCUAAGUAUAAGCAAUUAUACGGCGAAACUGCGAAUGGCUCAUUAAAUCAGUUAUCGUUUACUUGAUAGACCCAUACUACUUGGAUAACCGUGGUAAUUCUAGAGCUAAUACAUGCGAAAAACCGCGACUUCGGAAGCGGUGUAUUUAUUAGAUUAAAGACCAAUGCCCUUCGGGGCUGACUGGUGAUUCAUGAUAACUUCACGAAUCGCACGGAAGCCGGCGAUGGCUCAUUCAAAUUUCUGCCCUAUCAACUUUCGACUUUAGUGUAGUGGACUAAGGUGGUUGCAACGGGUAACGGAGGGUUAGGGCUCGACCCCGGAGAAGGAGCCUGAGAGACGGCUACUACAUCCAAGGAAGGCAGCAGGCGCGCAAAUUACCCAAUCCCGACCCGGGGAGGUAGUGACAAUAAAUACUGAUACAGGGCUCUUUUGGGUCUUGUAAUUGGAAUGAGUACAAUUUAAAUCUCUUAACGAGGAACAAUUGGAGGGCAAGUCUGGUGCCAGCAGCCGCGGUAAUUCCAGCUCCAAUAGCGUAUAUUAAAGUUGUUGUGGUUAAAAAGCUCGUAGUUGAACCUGGGCCUCGCGCAGACCGGUCCGCCUCACCGCGUGCACUGGUCCUGCCGGGGCUUUUCACUAGGGGAUUCGCAUGUCCUUCACUGGGCGUGUGCGGAACCUGGACUUUUACUGUGAAAAAAUUAGAGUGUUCAGAGCAGGCCUAUGCUCGAAUACAUUAGCAUGGAAUAAUAGAAUAGGACGUGUGGUUCUAUUUUGUUGGUUAUGGGACCGCCGUAAUGAUUAAUAGGGACAGUCGGGGGCAUCAGUAUUCAAUAGUCAGAGGUGAAAUUCUUGGAUUUAUUGAAGACUAACUACUGCGAAAGCAUUUGCCAAGGAUGUUUUCAUUAAUCAGGAACGAAAGUUAGGGGAUCGAAGACGAUCAGAUACCGUCGUAGUCUUAACCAUAAACUAUGCCGACUAGGGAUCGGGCGAUGUUAUUUUUUGACUCGCUCGGCACCUUACGAGAAAUCAAAGUCUGUGGGUUCCUGGGGGAGUAUGGUGGCAACGCUGAAACUUAAAGAAAUUGACGGAAGGGCACCACCAGGAGUGGAGCCUGCGGCUUAAUUUGACUCAACACGGGGAAACUCACCAGGUCCAGACACAAUGAGGAUUGACAGAUUGAGAGCUCUUUCUUGAUUUUGUGGGUGGUGGUGCAUGGCCGUUCUUAGUUGGUGGAGUGAUUUGUCUGCUUAAUUGCGAUAACGAACGAGACCUUAACCUGCUAAAUAGCCCGCGUUGCUCC